This is a small nucleolar RNA of Cynocephalus volans (Philippine flying lemur), 136 nucleotides long. RefSeq annotates it as small nucleolar RNA SNORA70. NCBI's taxonomy places the organism in Eukaryota, Metazoa, Chordata, Mammalia, Dermoptera, Cynocephalidae. The transcript has a single exon. The record is from RefSeq and is a predicted model, not a curated record.
CCGCACCUAAUUAAGCCGAAUGUGCUCCUUUCUUUGCGGGGGGCCCAGGGUGCAAUGGUGGCAAACAGCAGCCUCCUCGGUAGUGUGUGCAGCCUGUUGCUUGUAUGGGUUGCCCUAAGGGACCCUGGAAACAGCC